AGUCGAGCGGCAGCGCGGGGCAACCUGGCGGCGAGCGGCGAACGGGUGAGUAAUGCAUCGGAACAUGUCCAUGUCGUGGGGGAUAGCCCGGCGAAAGCCGGAUUAAUACCGCAUACGCCCGAGAGGGGAAAGUGGGGGACCGCAAGGCCUCACGCGAUUGGGUUGGCCGAUGUCCGAUUAGCUAGUUGGCGGGGUAAGAGCCCACCAAGGCGAUGAUCGGUAGCUGGUCUGAGAGGAUGAUCAGCCACACUGGGACUGAGACACGGCCCAGACUCCUACGGGAGGCAGCAGUGGGGAAUUUUGGACAAUGGGGGCAACCCUGAUCCAGCCAUUCCGCGUGAGUGAAGAAGGCCUUCGGGUUGUAAAGCUCUUUUGUCCGGAACGAAACGGUUACGGCGAAUACCCGUGACUACUGACGGUACCGGAAGAAUAAGCACCGGCUAACUACGUGCCAGCAGCCGCGGUAAUACGUAGGGUGCGAGCGUUAAUCGGAAUUACUGGGCGUAAAGCGUGCGCAGGCGGUUUUGUAAGCCAGAUGUGAAAUCCCCGGGCUUAACCUGGGAAUGGCAUUUGGGACUGCAAGGCUUGAGUGCGGCAGAGGAGACUGGAAUUCCUGGUGUAGCAGUGAAAUGCGUAGAUAUCAGGAGGA
RNAcentral lists this ribosomal RNA (649 nucleotides) under uncultured bacterium. RNAcentral describes it as "bacterial SSU rRNA". It matches the Rfam family "Bacterial small subunit ribosomal RNA", at positions 60 to 705 of the family's 1533-position model. The record is from RNAcentral.